This 393-nucleotide ribosomal RNA is filed under the name uncultured bacterium. Its description in RNAcentral is "partial 16S ribosomal RNA". It matches the Rfam family "Bacterial small subunit ribosomal RNA", at positions 523 to 918 of the family's 1533-position model. The record is from RNAcentral.
AUACGGAGGAUGCGAGCGUUGUCCGGAUUUAUUGGGUUUAAAGGGUGCGUAGGCUGUGCGUUAAGUCAGGGGUGAAAUGCCGUCGCUCAACGACGGAGCUGCCCUUGAUACUGGCGUGCUGGAGUACGGAUGCCGUUGGAGGAAUGAGUGGUGUAGCGGUUAAAUGCUUAGAUAUCACUCAGAACACCGAUUGCGAAGGCAUCUGACGAAUCCGUCACUGACGCUGAGGCACGAAAGCGUGGGGAUAGAACAGGAUUAGAUACCCUGGUAUUCCACGCCGUAAACGAUGAUGACUAACCGUCGGCGAUAGACAGCCGGUGGCCAAGCGAAAGCGAUAAGUCAUCCACCUGGGGAGUACGUCGGCAACGAUGAAACUUAAAGGAAUUGACGGGG